RNAcentral lists this ribosomal RNA (339 nucleotides) under Triticum aestivum (bread wheat). Its description in RNAcentral is "partial small subunit ribosomal RNA". Lineage: Eukaryota; Viridiplantae; Streptophyta; Magnoliopsida; Poales; Poaceae. The record is from RNAcentral.
AUGAAGAAAAAUGGAAAUUUUAAAAGGGUAGGCAAUGAUGAGGACAUCAAUACCAUUGUUACACCCACAGCCCCUGCUGCUAUACAUACUGGACCAAUUACUAGAGCUCGCGCACGCCAACUAAAUUACCAGGUACUUUCGUUUCUUGGUAAUGAUUCUAAUGUUCAUGAGAAUAUGAUGCUGCCUAAAUUGGAUACAUUUGUUUUGCUUACAAAUGAAGGGCCUAGCUUGGAGAAGGAUGAACAUUGGAGCAAGAGAAAGCAUGGAGAUGAUAGCAUGCGCAAGGGGAACAAGAACGGAGUUAUGAGUGAUGAUUUCAGGUCUUUGAAGCCACCAUAA